RNAcentral lists this ribosomal RNA (541 nucleotides) under uncultured bacterium. RNAcentral describes it as "bacterial SSU rRNA". It matches the Rfam family "Bacterial small subunit ribosomal RNA", at positions 358 to 916 of the family's 1533-position model. The record is from RNAcentral.
GGAAUAUUGGACAAUGGGGGCAACCCUGAUCCAGCAAUGCCGCGUGAGUGAUGAAGGCCUUAGGGUUGUAAAGCUCUUUUACCGGGGACGAUGAUGACGGUACCCGGAGAAUAAGCCCCGGCUAACUUCGUGCCAGCAGCCGCGGUAAUACGAAGGGGGCGAGCGUUGUUCGGAGUUACUGGGCGUAAAGGGCGCGUAGGCGGCGCUCCAAGUUAGGCGUGAAAGCCCCGGGCUCAACCUGGGAAUAGCGCUUAAGACUGGAGUGCUUGAGUGCGGGAGAGGUGAGUGGAAUUCCCAGUGUAGAGGUGAAAUUCGUAGAUAUUGGGAAGAACACCAGUGGCGAAGGCGGCUCACUGGCCCGCAACUGACGCUGAGGCGCGAAAGCGUGGGGAGCAAACAGGAUUAGAUACCCUGGUAGUCCACGCCGUAAACGAUGAGUGCUAGACGUUGGGGGACUCGGUCCCUUGGUGUCGCAGCUAACGCAUGAAGCACUCCGCCUGGGGAGUACGGCCGCAAGGUUAAAACUCAAAGGAAUUGACGG